Molecule: ribosomal RNA, 404 nt
Filed under: uncultured bacterium
Lineage: Bacteria
Description: bacterial SSU rRNA
Rfam family: Bacterial small subunit ribosomal RNA
Source: RNAcentral
UGGGGAAUAUUGCGCAAUGGGGGAAACCCUGACGCAGCAACGCCGCGUGCGGGAUGACGGCCUUCGGGUUGUAAACCGCUUUCAGCAGUGAAGAACAUCGACGGUACCUGCAGAAGAAGCCCCGGCUCACUACGGGCCAGCAGCCGCGGUAAUACGUAGGGGGCGAGCGUUAUCCGGAUUUAUUGGGCGUAAAGCGCGCGUAGGCGGGUGCCUAAGCGGGACCUCUAACCUCGGGGCUCAACCCCGAGCCGGGUCCCGAACUGGGCGCCUCGAGUGCGGUAGGGGAGAUCGGAAUUCCCGGUGUAGCGGUGGAAUGCGCAGAUAUCGGGAAGAACACCGAUGGCGAAGGCAGAUCUCUGGGCCGCCACUGACGCUGAGGCGCGAAAGCUAGGGGAGCGAACAGG